CUGCGAGUGAAGCGGGAAAAGCUCAAAUUUAAAAUCUGGCAGUCUUUGGCUGUCCGAGUUGUAAUCUAGAGAAGUGUUAUCCGCGCUGGACCGUGUACAAGUCUCCUGGAAUGGAGCGUCAUAGAGGGUGAGAAUCCCGUCUUUGACACGGACUACCAGGGCUUUGUGAUGCGCUCUCAAAGAGUCGAGUUGUUUGGGAAUGCAGCUCAAAAUGGGUGGUAAAUUCCAUCUAAAGCUAAAUAUUGGCGAGAGACCGAUAGCGAACAAGUACCGUGAGGGAAAGAUGAAAAGAACUUUGGAAAGAGAGUUAAACAGUACGUGAAAUUGCUGAAAGGGAAACGCUUGAAGUCAGUCGCGUUAUCCAGGGAUCAGCCUUGCUUUUGCUUGGUGCACUUUCUGGUUGACGGGUCAGCAUCAAUUUUGACUAUUGGAAAAAGAUUAGGGGAAUGUGGCAUCUUUGGAUGUGUUAUAGCCCUUGGUUGCAUACAAUGGUUGGGAUUGAGGAACUCAGCACGCCGCAAGGCCGGGUUUUAACCACGUACGUGCUUAGGAUGCUGGCAUAAUGGCUUUAAUCGACCCGUCUUGAAACACGGACCAAGGAGUCUAACAUACCUGCGAGUGUUUGGGUGGAAAACCCGAGCGCGUAAUGAAAGUGAAAGUUGAGAUCCCUGUCGUGGGGAGCAUCGACGCCCAGACCAGAUCUUUUGUGACGGUUCUGCGGUAGAGCAUGUAUGUUGGGACCCGAAAGAUGGUGAACUAUGCCUGAAUAGGGUGAAGCCAGAGGAAACUCUGGUGGAGGCUCGUAGCGAUUCUGACGUGCAAAUCGAUCGUCAAAUUUGGGUAUAGGGGCGAAAGACUAAUC
RNAcentral lists this ribosomal RNA (862 nucleotides) under Dermocybe kula. Its description in RNAcentral is "LSU rRNA". It matches the Rfam family "Eukaryotic large subunit ribosomal RNA", at positions 87 to 936 of the family's 3401-position model. The record is from RNAcentral. Lineage: Eukaryota; Fungi; Basidiomycota; Agaricomycetes; Agaricales; Cortinariaceae.